RNAcentral lists this ribosomal RNA (279 nucleotides) under uncultured bacterium. RNAcentral describes it as "partial 16S ribosomal RNA". It matches the Rfam family "Bacterial small subunit ribosomal RNA", at positions 506 to 784 of the family's 1533-position model. The record is from RNAcentral.
UGCCAGCCGCCGCGGUAAUACUGAAGGUGCAAGCGUUAAUCGGAAUUACUGGGCUUAAAGAGUUCGUAGGUGGUUGAAAAAGUUAGUGGUGAAAUCCCAGAGCUUAACUCUGGAACUGCCAUUAAAACUUUUCAGCUAGAGUAUGUUAGAGGAAAGCAGAAUUUCUAGUGUAGAGGUGAAAUUCGUAGAUAUUAGAAAGAAUACCGAUUGCGAAGGCAGCUUUCUGGAUCAUUACUGACACUGAGGAACGAAAGCAUGGGUAGCGAAGAGGAUUAGAUA